RNAcentral lists this long non-coding RNA (399 nucleotides) under Sarcophilus harrisii (Tasmanian devil). Its description in RNAcentral is "lncRNA (ENSSHAG00000020468.1)". Lineage: Eukaryota; Metazoa; Chordata; Mammalia; Dasyuromorphia; Dasyuridae. The record is from RNAcentral.
UCUAGGCUAAGAGCUCCACUCAUAAAUCUCUUCCUUGCUCUCUGUUUUUUCUAGCUCAAAGAUGUACCAAUGAGGAGCUUCAGAGAAACCAACUUAAAAUGGAAACAUUGAAGGAAGAAUUAGACAAAUUGAACCUGGAAAUGAUUCAGUUGGAGGAAACCUUGAACAUGAAGCAGGGUAAGUGUCUCUUGCUGGAGAACUUUUUCCCCUGUAGGGGAGCUGGUCUCUUCGUGUGGAAACUCUGUUGUGGGUGAGCUGUCUCAGGCAGGUACCUUUUUGAAUGUGGCUUUAGCCUCCCAUUAACCUCUUUCUCACCAUAGGAACUUUGCUGCUCCUUCAAGAGCGCCGCAGAGAGGAGGAAAAGAAAGCCCUAAGGUAGGCUAUUUAGAUCUUUGCAGA